UUUCUUUCUCUACGAACCUAAAACUACAAACUUCUAUUAUGUAUACGUCUAACACGUUAGAAAAAUGCUAUCUUGAACACGUUAUUAACAGAGAAAUAAGCAAAUCUUGUUAUAGAAUAUCGUGUGAAGUACAGCGAAGAGGAAGAUCAAUGUAUCUUUUUGGCAGGUUACUACUACUGUCCAAUAUUACUUUCGUCUCUACUAACGUUAAUAGUGGUUCACGCACAUGGACUCAUACGGUCAUACCAAUUUCUUUAUUUUAGUCGAUAUUUUUGUUUGUUAUGCGUGCAAAUUGAGUCUCCAUAAGCAAACAAGUUUCGACCUUAUCCUUCUGUGUGACUAAGACCAUCUCCAUCCAUUAGAGUCCCUAAUGGAUUCUUAAGAUUAAAUUAGUGUUUAUUUUUGUGAUUUGAAAGCUUUAGAACCUUUGUUAAUCUAUUUAAUUUUUUUCAUCCUCCAUUGGGAGAAUCUCAUAGAGGUUCAUAAAAAUUAAUUUUUUUUAAAAAAAAUUUUAAGAUUGAAUGAUUUGAAAGAAAAGGAUACAUAAUUUUUUUUAUUAAAAAUGACAUAAAAACAUAUUACAAAUACAAAUACAAAUCGUAAACGAGAAAAGCCAAUUAGUUGAAAUCUUGAUUUGUUCCAAUUUUUUGCCAUAUAUUCUCAACCAAAUCCGCUUUCAAUUGUUGAUGUGUUGGUUUAUCACGAACUCGGUUCCGAAUGCUCAUCAUAUUGCCGAGAUUUGAAGGCAUAUCUGUAGAAUACGUGAAAUCCACUUAUGAACUUCGGUUUGAAUCCGGAUGUGCGAAAACUAAAAUAUCAAACUGAGUGUACCCAUCUCGUUUGUCUUCUGCUAUCAUAUUACGCAGAAUGAUAUUUGUUCUCAUUAUCUUUCCAAUUUUUAUUUUAUCCCACAAAAGGGCUGGAUUUUUGACAAUGGCAAAUCGAACUUGCAAGACCCCAAAAGCACGCACGACAUCUUUACGUACAGCUUCUUGAUGUGUAGUAAAUAAGGAUGCUUUCGGACCUUGUGGAAGUGGAAUGGAUUGGACAAAAGUAGCUCAUUUUGGAUAAAUAUCAUCUGUGAGAUAGUAAGCCAAAUUGUACUCGUGUCCGUUGACAAUGUAAUUAACUCUUGGAGCUCGACCUUGUAAUAUAUCAUCAAAAACCGGUGAUCGAUCAAGAAUAUUGAUAUCGUUUAAUGUAUCUGGAGGUCCAAAAAACGCAUGUCAUAUCCAGAGAUCUUGUGAAACUACAGCCUCGAAAACAAUGGUUGGCUUUCCUGAUCCACGUGUAUAUUGACAUUUCCAUGCGGUCGGACAAUUCUUCCACUCCCAAUGCAUACAAUCAAUGCUUCCUAUCAUCCCGGAAAAUCUGCGUAACUCUCCAAUAUCGAGUAGUCGUUGAAGAUCUUCUGGUGUGGGUCUUUUUAGAUACUCAUCUCCAAAUAAAUUUAUGAUUCCUUCAACAAAAUGUUCCAAGCAUAAAAGCGCGGUGGUUUCACCAAGUCGGAGGUAUUCGUCGACCGCAUCAGCUGGGCAACCAUAUGCCAUCAUACGAAUUGCUGCUGUUGCCUUUUGUAACGGAGAGUGACCGAACCUUCCAGUAGCAUCUCUUCUUUGUUGAAAGUAUGAUAUUUCAGCGGAGAUUCGAUCAACAAUACGCAUGAACAAGGCCUUGUUCAUUCUAAAACGACGUCGAAACAUGUGAGACGGAUAUGUUGCAUCUUCGCUAAAAUAGUCAUUCCAUAACUGCAUGUGUCCUUGUUCUCGUUGUCUUUCAAUGUAAGCUCGUUUCUUUUUUUACCUUGAUGCUUCUUGACGAUUUUCAUUACGAAUUAGGAGAUUUUCGAAUUCUUGAUCGAAAAUUUGAUCGAACUUUUCAUCCAUCAUGUCCUCAAAAUUAUUAGAAGAAGAAGCAUCCAUUUAGAAAAGUAAUUUUGAAUUUAGAAAUGUUUUGAAAUUUUGGAUUGGUGAGAUGAUAAGAGAAAUUUUGGAUUUGUGAGAUGAUAAGAGAUAAACGGGAGACA
Molecule: long non-coding RNA, 2026 nt
Filed under: Brassica napus (rape)
Lineage: Eukaryota; Viridiplantae; Streptophyta; Magnoliopsida; Brassicales; Brassicaceae
Description: long non-coding RNA (BNAP_LNC025738)
Source: RNAcentral